GACGAAGGGGGCUAGCGUUGUUCGGAAUUACUGGGCGUAAAGCGCGUGUAGGCGGCUAUGUAAGUCGGGCGUGAAAUCCCACGGCUCAACCGUGGAAGUGCACUCGAAACUGCAUAGCUAGAGUCCUGGAGAGGAAGGUGGAAUGCUUGGUGUAGAGGUGAAAUUCGUAGAUAUCAAGCGGAACACCGGUGGCGAAGGCGGCCUUCUGGACAGUGACUGACGCUGAGACGCGAAAGCGUGGGGAGCAAACAGG
This 253-nucleotide ribosomal RNA is filed under the name uncultured bacterium. RNAcentral's name for it is "partial 16S ribosomal RNA". It matches the Rfam family "Bacterial small subunit ribosomal RNA", at positions 524 to 776 of the family's 1533-position model. The record is from RNAcentral.